This 869-nucleotide long non-coding RNA is filed under the name Phascolarctos cinereus (koala). Its description in RNAcentral is "lncRNA (ENSPCIG00000030940.1)". The record is from RNAcentral. Lineage: Eukaryota; Metazoa; Chordata; Mammalia; Diprotodontia; Phascolarctidae.
GGUAGAGUGCUUGAAAAGGAGUAACAUAAGAUCAAUUACUAGGAGCUAGUAAGUUGUAAAGGGCUUUAAUAACAGGAGUUUGUGUUUGAUUUGUGAAACAAUAAAGAACUUAGCAGAAUCAGAGCUGCACUUCAGGAAUAUUGACUUAGUAGCAAUGAGGAACAUAUAUAGAAGAGGAAGAGAGACUAAUAAGGAAGCUGUUGCAAUAGUCUAGAAGAGAGAUGGCAAGGGCUUCCCAGAGAAGAGGAAGCUGCACAUCCAUGGAAUCUGCCCAAUACACUCAGUGGGAGACCUCUGAGGAAUUUGAGAUGGUUGAUGCCAAGCGCAAAUGGCGACCCUGGGAAGCUGGGUGGUGGGCAAAGCAGCUUCCUGGGGGCCAUCCUGCCCUUCCCCUUUACCUGCUGUUUUCUGUGACCUCUUUUCUGUGGAUAAUUCUUCUUAGUAUGCUGUUGGCCAAGGUCAUGGACUUAUCAAAGGAAGUGAAGCACCUGGAGGGAAUACAAGUCAAUGGGUCAAUGAAUUCAGGCAGGCUGGAAGUUCUUCAGGUAUCCUUGAGCACCUUGGACAACAAGUACCAGACUCUAAAAACAAAGGCUGAAACAAUGGCUAAGGAAUUGAGGAACCUGCAAGAGAGUCAAGCCAGCCUGAGUACCAACUGUAUGUUCAGACCUCAAGACCUAAUGUACACCCUCCAACCUUGUUACACCCGCAAUUCCCUCUCCUCCCACUCUCUCAUUCCCCACCUGGACCUAACCUUUCCCCAUAGGUUGUCCCAGACUCCUACUCCUGUUGGCCUGACUCUUAUCCUUCUUAAUGGGCUCUUUCUGACCUUUUCCCUCACAUUGAUUUUAAUCAUUUCCUUUGGAUAG